Molecule: small RNA, 29 nt
Filed under: Bombyx mori (domestic silkworm)
Lineage: Eukaryota; Metazoa; Arthropoda; Insecta; Lepidoptera; Bombycidae
Description: piRNA piR-bmo-2078049
Source: RNAcentral
UCUGUUCUGUCGUGCUUUAGCAAUAUAUC